RNAcentral lists this ribosomal RNA (494 nucleotides) under uncultured bacterium. RNAcentral's name for it is "partial 16S ribosomal RNA". It matches the Rfam family "Bacterial small subunit ribosomal RNA", at positions 30 to 507 of the family's 1533-position model. The record is from RNAcentral.
AUUGAACGCUGGCGGCAUGCUUUACACAUGCAAGUCGAACGGCAGCGGGGAGGAGCUUGCUUCUCUGCCGGCGAGUGGCGAGCGGGUGAGUAAUACAUCGGAACGUGUCGAGAAGAGGGGGAUAACCACCCGAAAGGGUGGCUAAUACCGCAUAAAUUCUGAGGAAGAAAGCUGGGGACCUGGGAAUAGGCCUAGCGCUUUUUGAGCGGCCGAUGUCGGAUUAGCUAGUUGGUGAGGUAAAGGCUCACCAAGGCGAAGAUCUGUAGCGGGUCUGAGAGGAUGAUCCGCCACACUGGGACUGAGACACGGCCCAGACUCCUACGGGAGGCAGCAGUGGGGAAUUUUGGACAAUGGGGGCAACCCUGAUCCAGCCAUGCCGCGUGUAUGAAGAAGGCCUUAGGGUUGUAAAGUACUUUUGUUAGGGAAGAAAAGUCAGCUGUGAAUAAUGGCUGAUACUGACGGUACCUAAAGAAUAAGCACCGGCUAACUACGUG